This 84-nucleotide ribosomal RNA is filed under the name uncultured bacterium. RNAcentral's name for it is "partial 23S ribosomal RNA". The record is from RNAcentral.
GUGGAUGCCUUGGCGAUCACAGGCGAUGAAGGACGUGUAAGCCUGCGAAAAGCUACGGGGAGCUGGCAAUAAAGCUUUUGAUCC